GUUCAGAGAAUUCCAACUUCUUACAAGAACAGAUAUUUAUAAGAAAACAAGGCACAUUUUGGAAUCCUAUUCAGAAAAUAUACUGACUUCUUUUUCAGUGGUGGACAAUCCAAUCAAUAUUGUAUUGCAAGAAAAAAUGAAACAUUACACAGAUGAAGACAUGUUGAAAUACAUGAAGAUGACAGCCACAUGUUUACUCCUCCCAGAUGUUUUUGGGGAUGAUCCCAGCCUUUUUGUCAUCAUGAAUGAACAGGUGCAAGUGUCCACACCUGUGUUGGAAGUUAAAAACCCUUUCAACAUGGAGGUCUGCGAAUUUUCUUUAUAUUUAGAAAGGGAGAGGCUCACAAAGGUGGACGACUGUGUUACAGCCUUGGCUGCGCUAGUAGCUGCCUUUCAUGUAUUUAGGAUUGAGUGUCCAAGAAGACUGUCCCAAACUUUCAACUUCCUAGAAACGCUGAUUUUCGAUAUGCACAGUCCUUAUUUUCCUUCUUUGAAAGAAAAGGAAAACGAAGUAGGAUUUCAGCACCCACUCACUUAAUAGCAUGCCAAAUAUUGUACUGGAAUUUACCUCUGGGAAAACUGAAGCUUCAUAAGAAAUUGUUUUGAUUUAGGGUUGUGGUAGAGGUAUACAUCCCUAUGGCUGAAGUUGAAUGACAGCCUCUCUCAGGCCAUGACAGGAUGACAAGGUGAGCUACAAGGAAACUGCAGUGAAGUUUGGCUCCAAGCAUGACACAGACAUGGGCUGACCUUGAAGAAAAAAAAAGACUAAACGCUACCUACGCUCAAUGUUCCACACCUCUUAAGCCAGUAAUCCUGUAUCUGGUGUCGGGCAGCAAAGAAAAUAAAAUAUACCUCGUCUGUGCUCCAUUUGGAAACUUUACUGGCAGGGAUUCCUGCGACAGUUGGAA
RNAcentral lists this long non-coding RNA (908 nucleotides) under Homo sapiens (human). RNAcentral describes it as "novel transcript, antisense to L3MBTL3". Lineage: Eukaryota; Metazoa; Chordata; Mammalia; Primates; Hominidae. The record is from RNAcentral.